GAUGAACGCUGGCGGCGUGCCUAAUACAUGCAAGUCGAGCGAACGGACGAGAAGCUUGCUUCUCUGAUGUUAGCGGCGGACGGGUGAGUAACACGUGGAUAACCUACCUAUAAGACUGGGAUAACUUCGGGAAACCGGAGCUAAUACCGGAUAAUAUUUUGAACCGCAUGGUUCAAAAGUGAAAGACGGUCUUGCUGUCACUUAUAGAUGGAUCCGCGCUGCAUUAGCUAGUUGGUAAGGUAACGGCUUACCAAGGCAACGAUGCAUAGCCGACCUGAGAGGGUGAUCGGCCACACUGGAACUGAGACACGGUCCAGACUCCUACGGGAGGCAGCAGUAGGGAAUCUUCCGCAAUGGGCGAAAGCCUGACGGAGCAACGCCGCGCGAGUGAUGAAGGUCUUCGGAUCGUAAAACUCUGUUAUUAGGGAAGAACAUAUGUGUAAGUAACUGUGCACAUCUUGACGGUACCUAAUCAGAAAGCCACGGCUAACUACGUGCCAGCAGCCGCGGUAAUACGUAGGUGGCAAGCGUUAUCCGGAAUUAUUGGGCGUAAAGCGCGCGUAGGCGGUUUUUUAAGUCUGAUGUGAAAGCCCACGGCUCAACCGUGGAGGGUCAUUGGAAACUGGAAAACUUGAGUGCAGAAGAGGAAAGUGGAAUUUCAUGUGUAGCGGUGAAAUGCGCAGAGAUAUGGAGGAACACCAGUGGCGAAGGCGACUUUCUGGUCUGUAACUGACGCUGAUGUGCGAAAGCGUGGGGAUCAAACAGGAUUAGAUACCCUGGUAGUCCACGCCGUAAACGAUGAGUGCUAAGUGUUAGGGGGUUUCCGCCCCUUAGUGCUGCAGCUAACGCAUUAAGCACUCCGCCUGGGGAGUACGACCGCAAGGUUGAAACUCAAAGGAAUUGACGGGGACCCGCACAAGCGGUGGAGCAUGUGGUUUAAUUCGAAGCAACGCGAAGAACCUUACCAAAUCUUGACAUCCUUUGACAACUCUAGAGAUAGAGCCUUCCCCUUCGGGGGACAAAGUGACAGGUGGUGCAUGGUUGUCGUCAGCUCGUGUCGUGAGAUGUUGGGUUAAGUCCCGCAACGAGCGCAACCCUUAAGCUUAGUUGCCAUCAUUAAGUUGGGCACUCUAAGUUGACUGCCGGUGACAAACCGGAGGAAGGUGGGGAUGACGUCAAAUCAUCAUGCCCCUUAUGAUUUGGGCUACACACGUGCUACAAUGGACAAUACAAAGGGCAGCGAAACCGCGAGGUCAAGCAAAUCCCAUAAAGUUGUUCUCAGUUCGGAUUGUAGUCUGCAACUCGACUACAUGAAGCUGGAAUCGCUAGUAAUCGUAGAUCAGCAUGCUACGGUGAAUACGUUCCCGGGUCU
This 1372-nucleotide ribosomal RNA is filed under the name uncultured bacterium. RNAcentral's name for it is "bacterial SSU rRNA". It matches the Rfam family "Bacterial small subunit ribosomal RNA", at positions 28 to 1381 of the family's 1533-position model. The record is from RNAcentral.